Ornithorhynchus anatinus (platypus) is the source of this 138-nucleotide small nucleolar RNA. The record is from RefSeq and is a predicted model, not a curated record. NCBI's taxonomy places the organism in Eukaryota, Metazoa, Chordata, Mammalia, Monotremata, Ornithorhynchidae.
CACCUCUCAAGGUUACACCUGGAGAGUUUCAAGUACUCUACCAGUCUCAGCUACUAGAGGUAGAGUCAAGCAGAGGUGCACCCAUUCCAUUCCUAGCUUGGCCAGUGGCCAGCGAGUGGAAGGCAAUCUGCUACAAAU